AGGAUAGCACAGUCAACUUUACACCAGAGUCUCAGGAACAUGAUAUACUAUUUAAAGAAUGCACAUUUGCUAUUGUGCUUGAUACGUUCUCUGACCUUCAGAAAGAAAUUUCCAAUAAAUGUUGUAAGCUCACUUAUUUCCAUUAUUCAGUGCUAAAUUUCUAGUGCAGAGUUCAUUUUCAAGUCAUUAUUAGUACAACAGAUCCUCCCUAAAUGGAAGAGACUGAACAGAUCACACUCUGGACAGCUCCCAUUAUCUGAAAUAGCCAUAAGCUGCUUUAAUGUUAGAGAUUUGGUUUAAAGGAUUGUCCUCUUGGAAGAUUGGCUGUGGUUGUUUGCUAGGCAGAACAAAUUAUAAAAUGAUUAUGGCUUCAGAGAUGUAUGCUUCCAAAUGAUUGCUUUGCCAGUCCAUAAAAUGUCUGCUUUUAAAAAAAGCAGGUGAAAUAUGAGAGCUUUCAGAGAUUAGAUUGUUGGGAUAUUAUUAAAAAUGUCUUUAUAGAACCUGGAUGCAAGGCCACUGGAGUAUAACUUACCAGGAAUACUGACAGGAAGUCAUCAGCAUAAAGAAAGAAAGGCACAUUUAAAAAUGAAAAAGAAAAGGCUUAAGAAAAAAAUAGUAACAAAACUAACCUAGAAAAACAGUUGAGCGUGUACAGUUUAAACUGCCUUCCUCUGCAGGGGGCUGUGGAAAUGGGGGUCCUCAGGGAUGAGAGGGGGACGGCAGAGGAACCUUUUCUCUAACUCUCUAUGUUUCUGUAUUUGCUGAAAUUUUAUAUACAUAAACUUGUAUCAUCGGCAAUUCGUGCAACUAAAAAUAACUUUAGAAUAGAAGGCCACCAAUAGACCUUGCAUUUCAGUUUUAUCCUGCCUUUUUCACCUUUCAUCUAACAUUCAAGUCUAAUAACAUGCAGGAAAACACUGAUGAAGUGAGGGAAACUUCAGAAUUUUUGAUGUUAUCAACAGUUCCAUUUUGUAGUUGAGGAUACAUUCCCGGUUCUUAGUGUUUUCUUCAAAAAAUUAAAUUUUACUGUUAAAUACAAUUUUAUGCCUGUCAGACUCAUUCUCUGCAGUGAAGGACAUGGCACUUGGUGCUAAUAGGCAUUCAAUAGAAGCUUUUAGACUUUAUGGUGAUGAAAAAGAACCUGCCUAAAACAGAGAAGGGAUGUUUGACAAAAAGAGGGGAAAAUGAAGUUUUUAAUAUUUUUUUGCCUCUUUUGAUCUCUUCCAUGUAAGUGUUUUAAAGUGUUUGUUCUUCUUAUUAAAGUCUUAUGUGCUUUUUUAGAGAUAUAUUUGGGGUCCUGCUUGGCCUGUUUCAUUGGAGUUACCUCUCUUGCUGUUUCUGGCUGGUGGAGCCAAACAAAUUGGAACCCUAAUUCAAGCUGAGCCAAUCAGCUUGCCUCUUAUAUAUCUGAGGGAAGACGAAGACUCAGUUAGGUGAUGGUGGUCUCUGGAACUAUGGGCUAAAGUAAAAGCAGCCACACUGGAAUCCUGUGCAUUGGAUCCACAGGCAGCGGGAAUCAAGGGAGUGAUUCUGAUACCUAGAAGGAAGCAUAAGAUGCUUGUACUCAUUGAGAGUGUGAGAGCAGAGGCAGAAAUAAUAAUAAUAAUUUUUUUUUGCUUUAAAAUUUAAAUUUCUUAUAAGACCUGGCCCUACUUCCUGCCUUUGAUUAUAUGGGAUAGUCUCAAAUAUCAGUUUAUGAUAAAUUGAGCUUUGAUUUUUGCAAAACAAAAUAUAGCGAAUAUAUAAGAAAUUAAAACUGCCUGUACAAUCAUGCCCAACAUAAACAUUUUCUUUCAGUCUGUUUUUUUUUUUUCCUAUGGAAGUGCUAUAAUCACACACUCUAUAAAAUCUGCUGUCUUUCUUUCUUUUACAAAGUUGUGGGCAUUUCCCAAUUUUGUUAAUCCCAGUGCUGGUUGAAGCCAGCUCUCAUUUAUUAGGCAGGACCUGCCCCCAAAUGACUGAACAGGUCUGGAGUAAAACACCUCCUUGCUGACUGGUAUCACUCUUAAUGCAUGAGUAUUAACCACAGGUGGUCACUUGAUAACUGUCUGGCAAUGAUACUGUACUUCACUAGUUCUCCAUUUGUCCAUUGUCCAAGGACCAUUUUCUUUUUCUUCUCUCUUCUUCAGGUUUCCUCCCCCAUCCUCAAACUCUGCUGAGAUCUUUUCUAUUUUACUGGGAUAAGAAAAGCCACCAGAAGUCAGUUUCCAUGUGCUUGUACUGCCUCGUCCACCCACAUGCUCUGUGCCCAUAUAUUCUGUUUUUAUUUAUUUUUAAUAAUUUUUAUUUAUUUAUUUUUUCCAUUGUACAGCAUGAGGAACAAGUUACACAUAUGCGUAUACAUACUCUUUCCUCCUAUUGUUGUGUCACCAUGUAAGUAUCUAGACAUAGUUCUCAAUGCUAUACAGCAGGAUCUCAUUGUAAAUCCAUUCCAAGAGCAGUAGUUUGCAUCUGUUAAUCCCAAGCUCCCAAUCCCUCCCACUCUCUCCCUCUCCCUCCGGGCAGCCACAAGUCUAUGAUUUUCUUUUCUGCAGAAAGGUUCAUUUGUGCUGUAUAUUAGAUUACAGUUAUAAGUGAUAUCAUAUGGUAUUUGUCUUUCUCUUUCUGAAAUUUCACUCAGGUUGAGAGUCUCUAGUUCCAUCCAUGGUGCUGCAGAUGACAUUAUGUUGUUCUUUUUUAUGGCUGAGUAGUAUUCCAUUGUGUAUAUAUAUGCCACAUCUUCCUAAUCCAAUUGUCUGUCGAUGGACAUUUGGGUUGUUUCCAGCUCUUGGCUAUUGUGAAUAGUGCUGCAAUGAGCAGGCGGGUGCAUGUGUCUUUUAUAAGGAAAGCUUUGUCUGGAUAUAUGCCCAAGAGUGGGAUUGCUGGGUCAUAUGGUAGUUCUAUGUAUAGAUUUCUAAGAUACCUCCAUACUGGCCUCCAUAGUGGCUGUACCAGCUUACAUUCCCACCAACAGUGCAGGAGGGUUCCCUUUUCUGUUUUUAAUUACUUUGGCUUCUCUCUUCUGUGAAAUCAUCUUUUCUCUGCUGCCUGCUCAUUUUCAUGAGCUUAUAAAAUGCUAUUAUUUCUCCUAUCUUAGGGAGAAAAAAUUUUCCAGACUCUGUUUCAUGUUAGUUACUGGGUCAUUUUCCUGCUUCUGUGGAAAGCAAAUCUCCUCAGUGGUUCUGUCUACUUGUUAUCUUCAAUUUGCUCAUCUCCUAUUUUUCUAAUCAGGGCUUCCUUCUCAUGACUCCUAUAGAACAGCUCUUGUAGAAUUGCUACUGACUUUCACAUAGCUAAAACUGAUGCUUGCUCUUAGUUUUCAUCUUACUAGAGCUGUUGGCAGAUGAUCCCUCUUCCUUUAAAUACUUCCUUCACUUGACUUUUAGGACCCGUAUUCUUGGUUCUAUUCUAUUUUACUGACUCCUCCUUUUGGGAUCCUUUAUUCUCUGCCCUGUGCUCUGGUCCCUCUAUAUACCCCAGCCUUUAAUACAGCUGUGCCCCGGACUCAGCCUCAGAUCUUUACAUUUUUUUAUACUAACUUUCUAGGUGAUCUCACCUAAUACCAUGGUUUUAAAUACUAUCUAUAUACUAAGGACUUUUCACAUUUACCUUUCAAGCCCAGACCUUUCUCCUCAUUUCAAAAUUCACAUACCCAGCCCCCUACUCAAAAUUUCCUCUUGGAAUUCUAAUAAGCAUUGUAAAUCCCCAAAUGUCUGAUGGCUCCUGAACUCAAACUUUGGAACUCUCUUUUUAUUUUUUAAAAUUUUAUUUCAUUAUUUGUUUUAUUUUAUUUUUAAAUUUUGGAUAGUAUUGUUGAGAUAUAAUUCAUAGCAUACAAUCGAACCAUUUGAAGUGUACUAUUUAAUGGCUUUUGGUAUAUUUACAGAGUUGUGCAAUAUUCACUGUAAUCAAUUUUAGAACAUUAUCAUCACCUGAAAAAAAAAAAAA
This 3927-nucleotide long non-coding RNA is filed under the name Sus scrofa (pig). Its description in RNAcentral is "lncRNA (ENSSSCG00000063376.1)". The record is from RNAcentral. Lineage: Eukaryota; Metazoa; Chordata; Mammalia; Artiodactyla; Suidae.